GCCCCCGUGGCGCAAUCGGUAGCGCAUCUGACUUUUAAUCAGACGGUUGCGGGUUCGAGCCCCGCCGGGGGCUU
Molecule: non-coding RNA, 74 nt
Organism: Vanrija pseudolonga
Lineage: Eukaryota; Fungi; Basidiomycota; Tremellomycetes; Trichosporonales; Trichosporonaceae
Source: the annotation of a RefSeq genome assembly